RNAcentral lists this ribosomal RNA (101 nucleotides) under uncultured bacterium. RNAcentral's name for it is "partial 16S ribosomal RNA". The record is from RNAcentral.
CCUUCGGGUUGUAAAGCUCUUUUGUCAGGGAAGAAACGGUGAUCUCGAAUAAAGGUCACUAAUGACGGUACCUGAAGAAUAAGCACCGGCUAACUACGUGC